This 477-nucleotide ribosomal RNA is filed under the name uncultured anaerobic ammonium-oxidizing bacterium. RNAcentral's name for it is "bacterial SSU rRNA". It matches the Rfam family "Bacterial small subunit ribosomal RNA", at positions 365 to 832 of the family's 1533-position model. The record is from RNAcentral.
UUCGCAAUGCCCGAAAGGGUGACGAAGCGACGCCGCGCGCGGGAAGAAGGCCUUCGGGUUGUAAACCGCUGUCGGGAGUUAAGAAAUGCAAGGAUGUUAAUAGCGUUCUUGCUUGACUAAGGCUCCGGAGGAAGCCACGGCUAACUCUGUGCCAGCAGCCGCGGUAAUACAGAGGCGGCAAGCGUUGUUCGGAAUUAUUGGGCGUAAAGAGCACGUAGGCGGCUGUGUUAGUCGGUUGUGAAAGCCUUCCGCUCAACGGAAGAACGGCAUCCGAUACUGCAUGGCUUGAGUGUGGGAGGGGAGAGUGGAACUUCUGGUGGAGCGGUGAAAUGCGUAGAUAUCAGAAGGAACACCGGCGGCGAAGGCGACUCUCUGGUCCAUAACUGACGCUGAGUGUGCGGAAGCUAGGGGAGCAAACGGGAUUAGAUACCCCGGUAGUCCUAGCCGUAAACGAUGGGCACUAAGUAGAGGGGUUUU